AGAAAGUGGUUUAAUUGAAAAUACCAGUUUGGGGAGUUGGGGAUAAAGGUUUAACUCCUUUUUUUUCUG
This 69-nucleotide transfer RNA is filed under the name Manacus vitellinus (golden-collared manakin). It matches the Rfam family "tRNA". From Rfam's summary of the family: Transfer RNA (tRNA) molecules are approximately 80 nucleotides in length. Their secondary structure includes four short double-helical elements and three loops (D, anti-codon, and T loops). Lineage: Eukaryota; Metazoa; Chordata; Aves; Passeriformes; Pipridae. The record is from Rfam by way of RNAcentral.